GAUGAAGAACGUAGCGAAAUGCGAUAAGUAAUGUGAAUUGCAGAAUUCCGUGAAUCAUCGAAUCUUUGAACGCACAUUGCGCCCUCUGGUAUUCCGGGGGGCAUGCCUGUCCGAGCGUCAUUUGCAACCCUCAAGCCCGGCUUGUGUGAUGGGUGCCGUCCCCUACGGGACGCGCCCCGAAGGCAAUGGCGGCGUCGCGGUUAUCCGAUCAGCCAAAGUGUAUGGGGCUUUGUCACUCACUUUACGGCCCGGACCGGCGCCAGUCCGAAUCAAUCUUUUUUCUAAAGUUGACCUCGGAUCAGGUAGGGAUACCCGCUGAACUUAAGCAUAUCAAUAAGCGGGGA
This 344-nucleotide unclassified non-coding RNA is filed under the name soil metagenome. RNAcentral's name for it is "partial contains 5.8S ribosomal RNA, internal transcribed spacer 2, and large subunit ribosomal RNA". The stretch from base 1 to 120 matches the Rfam family "5.8S ribosomal RNA", at positions 35 to 154 of the family's 154-position model. The record is from RNAcentral.